GGGAGGGAUUGGGAGCAACUGCCCAGUAGGCACUCCAAGGCCACCAGGGCUGGGCACAGAGAGAAGGGCCCUGGCAACUGCCAGGUGCCUUAUAGCUGCUGGGAGGACAGCUGUGACCACAGAGGGUCGGGCUGCCUUUACCUCUGUGCCAGUCUGGGUGGGCCAGCCUGUGGCUGAGCACUUGAUCUUGGGUGCUCCACAUGUGCUGUCUGCCUGACCACACCCUACAGCUCACUUUCAUAAAGCAGGAGGCACUGGACUUCAGAAGGAAACUCGCUCAGUCACGAUCAGAGGUGAGUGCCCC
RNAcentral lists this long non-coding RNA (304 nucleotides) under Homo sapiens (human). RNAcentral describes it as "HSALNT0028777". Lineage: Eukaryota; Metazoa; Chordata; Mammalia; Primates; Hominidae. The record is from RNAcentral.